GGUUUUAACCCAAGUUAACCAAG
This 23-nucleotide unclassified non-coding RNA is filed under the name Caenorhabditis elegans. Its description in RNAcentral is "spliced leader". Lineage: Eukaryota; Metazoa; Nematoda; Chromadorea; Rhabditida; Rhabditidae. The record is from RNAcentral.